AUACGGAGGGUGCAAGCGUUACUCGGAAUCACUGGGCGUAAGGCGCGCGCAGGCGGCUAUUUAAGUUGGAUGUGAAAGCCUACGGCUCAACCGUAGAACUGCAUCCAAAACUAUUUAGCUAGAGUGUGGGAGAGGAAGAUGGAAUUAGUUGUGUAGGGGUAAAAUCCGUAGAGAUAACUAGGAAUACCAAAAGCGAAGGCAAUCUUCUGGAACACUACUGACGCUGAGGCGCGAAAGCGUGGGGAGCAAACGGGAUUAGAUACCCUAGUAGUCC
RNAcentral lists this ribosomal RNA (274 nucleotides) under uncultured bacterium. RNAcentral's name for it is "partial 16S ribosomal RNA". It matches the Rfam family "Bacterial small subunit ribosomal RNA", at positions 523 to 796 of the family's 1533-position model. The record is from RNAcentral.